Solanum pennellii is the source of this 1365-nucleotide RNA transcript. It is a transcript of the gene named 2-phytyl-1,4-beta-naphthoquinone methyltransferase, chloroplastic, with no coding region annotated. NCBI's taxonomy places the organism in Eukaryota, Viridiplantae, Streptophyta, Magnoliopsida, Solanales, Solanaceae. The transcript is spliced from 9 exons. The record is from RefSeq and is a predicted model, not a curated record.
AACUUACAUUAUCCUUUAAAAUACAAAAAGUCAUCAUCAAAGGGACAAUGGCUUCCCUUCACGUUCCUCUUUCUUCACUUCCCCGUCCCAGUUUCCGGCCAACAGGCAAGUUGUUAAUCCGAUGUUCCGCCGACCGGCAAGCCCUGUUUAACCGCAUUGCCCCUGUUUAUGAUAAUUUGAAUGAUCUUCUCAGUUUGGGCCAACACCGCAUAUGGAAAAGAAUGGCUGUUUCCUGGAGCGGAGCUAAAGAAGGGGACGAUGUACUAGAUAUCUGUUGUGGAAGUGGGGAUUUGACGUUCCUUCUGUCUGAAAAAGUUGGACCCCAUGUGAGCAUUCAUGGAAUAACAUCAUCUAGCAGUUCACAAGUUCUCUGGAGUAGUGUUCAGGCAGUCGGUCUUGAUUUCUCAAAUGAACAAUUAUUAAUCGCUUCGACUCGGCAGAAAUUACGUUCAAAGACAUGUUACAAGAACAUCAAGUGGAUGGAGGGCAAUGCACUUGAUUUACCUUUUCCUGACUCCUCCUUUGAUGCUGUUACUAUUGGCUAUGGGUUACGCAAUGUGGUAGAUAGACAUAGAGCUAUGACAGAGAUAUGUCGAGUUUUGAAACCAGGCUCAACAUUAUCUGUUCUUGACUUCAAUAAGAGUAUCAACCCCUUGAGCACCACAGUUCAGGAAUUGAUGAUCGACAAUAUAGUUGUUCCUGUAGCGAGUGGUUAUGGCCUAGAAAAUGAGUACAAAUACUUGAAAAGCUCUAUCAAGGACUUUCUGACAGGAAACGAGUUAGAGAAGCUGGCUCUUGAAGUAGGAUUUUCCACUGCCGAACAUUUUGAGAUAGGAUUUGGAUUUAUGGGAAAUUUGGUAGCCAUUCGAUAGAAUGACUUCAGGUGCUUCAUCCUCCACUUGCCUUCACAAACGAGAAAAGAUGCAGUAAGAGGAGGAAUGAGUGAAUGAUGAUGAUAUUGACUAGACAAGUAUGGGGAAUAAGAUUGCUGAUUGUGAAGAGGUUAAGGUAUGUGCCAGUAGGAGGGAAUUAUCAUCUUAUGGGGUUAUGUACAUAUCUUGAAAGGGAGGAGUUAUGCUAUGGCCUAUGAGUAGCAUAAGAGUGGCAGUAUGCUGCAAACUGAUACAUUUCUGAAACAACCUCUCUACUUUCCAAGGAAGGGGUAAGGUUCUACUCUCUCGACACUCCACUUAUAGGAUUAUAUUGAAUAUGUUGUUGUUGGAAUGAUAGUUUUAGGGCAAUGAAGCGACUAACUUUCCUAAAAGUGCUUUAGAAUCACAAACUGUAGUGAUUGCGAAACUACUAUUUACUACUUCUACUUCGAAAUAUGUGGCUACUAAAUAGAGUUUCUUAAACAGGGUAAAA